UACACUAUCAACAUCCACUAAUCAUACCUUAACCAUUAAUUAACAUCAUACCCACACAUAUCCAUCUCAGAAAAUCACCACAAGUGGCCCCACUUUCUCGUAUCAAAGGCUUACAGAGUAUUACCCUGGUUUUUUUGUUUGUCGAGCUCAAACAAUCUUAGCGGACACGUCUAGACUUCAAGGAAUGGUCGAACGCAGCUCCUCAAGAAAUGCUUCGGAGAACCAGACGACAAAUGGUAUCCAUCUUCUAUAUCCAGCAAUUUCUCAUCAGCGAGCGCCACCAACAUCCACUGGAAUAUGAAAUGAAGAGAAACAUAGAAAAAAAGGCGUACAAAAAGGCAUGCUCAGAUUUGCAUUCAUGGCGAAAUGAGUCUCAAUCUCGACAAAAUUCAGCAAAUUCUAACACGUUCCUCUAAACAAUCGAGGUCCAAUCGUAGAAUUUCAUGAUCCAUCUCGCAAUGUGAAGACAAUUAAUCACGUAACCACUUUAAGGCCAAGUAUAAGUAGAACCUUUUGGUAAAAGGAAUCCUAUGAUAAACUUCCAAUGACACCACAAGGCUGUGAUCUAGCAUCAAACAAGAUCCCAAUUCUCACAAGUUCAGAUUCUGUUACAUGGCCUGAGUGCUCAAAAUUCAUCGCCAAUUCACAACAUUCUCCUGCAUCCCCAUACAUAAAUGUAUGAAUAAAGUGGCAUCGAAUCAAGUUCGAUACUGAAUUGAAACGAGACAGUCAAGAUCAGCAUCUCUGUCCCUAGAUCUAGUCCAAAACACUUUCAAUCCAUGUAAACCAAGAGCACAAUAGGAACGACUAGCAAUUUCUGAAUGACAUCCGAUGAUGCGUGAAUCGAGAACAAACAAGUAUAACAUGCCAUGAAAAACUUCCAAGUCAAGCAAGAAACGACAAUCAUCCAAACACCGGAAACCAUCAUGCUUCUACGGUUUAGAAACUUAGUCAAACAAGUGUUGAGCAUAAUGAGCGCAGUGCUCGAUAGACAGAAAUACCUAACAAAAAAGAGCAAUAUGACAUGAGACGCUCAGCUAAGCAUCAAUAGAAGGAAAUCAACGAAUCUGAAACUAAUAGCAAACAAUCAAACCAUAAGACUCUCUCGAUUAAACACAGGACAGCGACUCAAUCAAUUCUCGUUAGAAUACAGCGACGAUAUCCUGCGAUGAAGUUAGUCGAUAGAUGUAUUUGUCUGUAAUUAGCUCCAGCUGAAGAUAGCAACCAGUGAAGAAGAAGACAAGUAAUAAUGUUCGCUAACCGGCGGAUUGGCUUAGCGUGGAAAUCUCCGGAAUUGAACGAGUACGUCGCUGUGAGCCUAUCUGAGACGAAGCUCCAUAGAUAUAAAGAAGUUAAGCUGAAACGUUCAAAGAGAAGAAGGCGUUGGUGAGACCGUCCGAGAGAGAAAAAAGGUUCCAAAAUCCGUGGUCGCGAUCAUGGCGCUGUUUGAACACGAUCAGCG
RNAcentral lists this long non-coding RNA (1462 nucleotides) under Eucalyptus grandis. RNAcentral describes it as "long non-coding RNA (EGRA_LNC004838)". The record is from RNAcentral. Lineage: Eukaryota; Viridiplantae; Streptophyta; Magnoliopsida; Myrtales; Myrtaceae.